Molecule: unclassified non-coding RNA, 146 nt
Filed under: soil metagenome
Description: partial internal transcribed spacer 1
Source: RNAcentral
UAGUAAGUGUUUUAUGGCACUUUUUAAAUCCAUAUCCACCUUGUGUGCAAUGUCAGUCGAUCUUCUUCACUGGAGAUUGACCAAACAUCAACCUUUAUUUUUUAACUCUUUGUCUGAAAAAUAUUAUGAAUAAACAAUUCAAAAUA